UGGCGAACUGGUGAGUAACACGUGGGAAACCUGCCCAGAAGCGGGGGAUAACACCUGGAAACAGAUGCUAAUACCGCAUAACAACUUGGACCGCAUGGUCCGAGCUUGAAAGAUGGCUUCGGCUAUCACUUUUGGAUGGUCCCGCGGCGUAUUAGCUAGAUGGUGGGGUAACGGCUCACCAUGGGCAAUGAUACGUAGCCGACCUGAGAGGGUAAUCGGCCACAUUGGGACUGAGACACGGCCCAAACUCCUACGGGAGGCAGCAGUAGGGAAUCUUCCACAAUGGACGAAAGUCGUGAUGGAGCAACGCCGCGUGAGUGAAGAAGGGUUUCGGCUCGUAAAACUCUGUUGUUAAAGAAGAACAUAUCUGAGAGUAACUGUUCAGGUAUUGACGGUAUUUAACCAGAAAGCCACGGCUAACUACGUGCCAGCAGCCGCGGUAAUACGUAGGUGGCAAGCGUUGUCCGGAUUUAUUGGGCGUAAAGCGAGCGCAGGCGGUUUUUUAAGUCUGAUGUGAAAGCCUUCGGCUCAACCGAAGAAGUGCAUCGGAAACUGGGAAACUUGAGUGCAGAAGAGGACAGUGGAACUCCAUGUGUAGCGGUGAAAUGCGUAGAUAUAUGGAAGAACACCAGUGGCGAAGGCGGCUGUCUGGUCUGUAACUGACGCUGAGGCUCGAAAGUAUGGGUAGCAAACAGGAUUAGAUACCCUGGUAGUCCAUACCGUAAACGAUGAAUGCUAAGUGUUGGAGGGUUUCCGCCCUUCAGUGCUGCAGCUAACGCAUUAAGCAUUCCGCCUGGGGAGUACGGCCGCAAGGCUGAAACUCAAAGGAAUUGACGGGGGCCCGCACAAGCGGUGGAGCAUGUGGUUUAAUUCGAAGCUACGCGAAGAACCUUACCAGGUCUUGACAUACUAUGCAAAUCUAAGAGAUUAGACGUUCCCUUCGGGGACAUGGAUACAGGUGGUGCAUGGUUGUCGUCAGCUCGUGUCGUGAGAUGUUGGGUUAAGUCCCGCAACGAGCGCAACCCUUAUUAUCAGUUGCCAGCAUUAAGUUGGGCACUCUGGUGAGACUGCCGGUGACAAACCGGAGGAAGGUGGGGAUGACGUCAAAUCAUCAUGCCCCUUAUGACCUGGGCUACACACGUGCUACAAUGGAUGGUACAACGAGUUGCGAACUCGCGAGAGUAAGCUAAUCUCUUAAAGCCAUUCUCAGUUCGGAUUGUAGGCUGCAACUCGCCUACAGAAGUCGGAAUCGCUAGUAAUCGCGGAUCAGCAUGCCGCGGUGAAUACGUUCCCGGGCCUUGUACACACCGCCCGUCACACCAU
Molecule: ribosomal RNA, 1323 nt
Filed under: Lactiplantibacillus plantarum
Lineage: Bacteria; Bacillati; Bacillota; Bacilli; Lactobacillales; Lactobacillaceae
Description: bacterial SSU rRNA
Rfam family: Bacterial small subunit ribosomal RNA
Source: RNAcentral